UUUACAUAGAGUUUGAUCCUGGCUCAGGACGAACGCUGGCGGUGCGCCUAAUGCAUGCAAGUCGAACGGGCGAAGGGGCUUCGGCCCCCUAGCUAGUGGCAGACGGCUGAGUAACACGUAAGUGACCUACCCCGAAGCGGGGGAUAAACUCGAGAAAUCGGGUCUAAUACCCCGUAAGUUCUUCGCACUUCGAUGCGAAGUAGAAAGGUUUCGACCGCUUUGGGAGGGGCUUGCGGCCUAUCAGGUAGUUGGUGGGGUAAUGGCCUACCAAGCCUCAGACGGGUAACCGGUGUGAGAGCACGAUCGGUCAGAGGGGGACUGAGACACGGCCCCCACUCCUACGGGAGGCAGCAGCAGGGAAUCUUGCGCAAUGGGCGAAAGCCUGACGCAGCGACACCGCGUGGGGGAAGAAUGCUUUCGAGUUGUAAACCCCUUUUCCCGGGGAAGAGAACGGACGGUACCCGGGGAAUAAGGUUCGGCUAACUACGUGCCAGCAGCCGCGGUAAUACGUAGGAACCGAGCGUUGUCCGGAUUUACUGGGCGUAAAGUGCGCGUAGGCGGUCUGUUAAGUCUCAUGUGAAAUCUCCCGGCUCAACUGGGAGGGGUCAUGGGAAACUGGCAGGCUUGAGGGCAGCAGAGGAGAGUGGAAUUCCCGGAGUAGUGGUGAAAUGCGUAGAUACCGGGAGGAACACCAGAGGCGAAGGCGACUCUCUGGGCUGUACCUGACGCUGAGGCGCGAAAGCGUGGGGAGCAAACCGGAUUAGAUACCCGGGUAGUCCACGCCCUAAACGAUGGAUACUAGAUAUGGGGGGUAUCGACCCCUCCCGCGUCGCAGCUAACGCGAUAAGUAUCCCGCCUGAGGAGUACGGCCGCAAGGCUAAAACUCAAAGGAAUUGACGGGGACCCGCACAAGCAGCGGAGCGUGUGGUUUAAUUCGAUGAUAAGCGAAGAACCUUACCAGGGCUUGACAUGUUUCUGACAGGCCACGAAAGUGGUCCUUCUUUCGAGACAGACUCACAGAUGUUGCAUGGCUGUCGUCAGCUCGUGC
This 1048-nucleotide ribosomal RNA is filed under the name SAR202 cluster bacterium. RNAcentral's name for it is "bacterial SSU rRNA". It matches the Rfam family "Bacterial small subunit ribosomal RNA", at positions 1 to 1065 of the family's 1533-position model. The record is from RNAcentral. Lineage: Bacteria; Bacillati; Chloroflexota; Dehalococcoidia.